AGAGUAUAGCUCAGUGGUACACUGCAUGCUUAACAUACAUGAGGUCCUGGGUUCAAUCCCCAGUACCUCUA
Molecule: transfer RNA, 71 nt
Filed under: Camelus bactrianus (Bactrian camel)
Lineage: Eukaryota; Metazoa; Chordata; Mammalia; Artiodactyla; Camelidae
Also listed under: 2 other names
Rfam family: tRNA
About the family: Transfer RNA (tRNA) molecules are approximately 80 nucleotides in length. Their secondary structure includes four short double-helical elements and three loops (D, anti-codon, and T loops).
Source: Rfam by way of RNAcentral